GAUGAACGCUGGCGGCGUGCUUAACACAUGCAAGUCGAACGGAAAGGCCGAAGCUUGCUUCGGUACUCGAGUGGCGAACGGGUGAGUAACACGUGGGUGAUCUGCCCUGUACUUCGGGAUAAGCUUGGGAAACUGGGUCUAAUACCGGAUAUGACGAUCUCUUGGAUGGGGUUGUGGAAAGCUUUUGCGGUAUGGGAUGAGCUCGCGGCCUAUCAGCUUGUUGGUGGGGUAAUGGCCUACCAAGGCGUCGACGGGUAGCCGGCCUGAGAGGGUGUACGGCCACAUUGGGAAUGAGAUACGGCCCAGACUCCUACGGGAGGCAGCAGUGGGGAAUAUUGCACAAUGGGCGCAAGCCUGAUGCAGCGACGCCGCGUGGGGGAUGACGGCCUUCGGGUUGUAAACUCCUUUCGCAAUCGACGAAGCCUUUUGGUGACGGUAGGUUGAGAAGAAGCACCGGCUAACUACGUG
RNAcentral lists this ribosomal RNA (468 nucleotides) under uncultured bacterium. RNAcentral's name for it is "partial 16S ribosomal RNA". It matches the Rfam family "Bacterial small subunit ribosomal RNA", at positions 28 to 507 of the family's 1533-position model. The record is from RNAcentral.